RNAcentral lists this long non-coding RNA (2148 nucleotides) under Aedes aegypti (yellow fever mosquito). RNAcentral's name for it is "lncRNA AAEL026021". Lineage: Eukaryota; Metazoa; Arthropoda; Insecta; Diptera; Culicidae. The record is from RNAcentral.
UUUAGUACUGAAAAUAGUUUUAGGAUUUAUUAUAGAUGGCUCAUCAACUUUGACAUAUUGGUUAACUGUGGUACUCGUAUAAAUUUAUUGAAUUGGUUGUUGUGAAGGUCGAAGACAAUUACAUUACAAUUUUGGAGGUCUUUCGAACAUCUUAGAGAUAUAAUCCCUCAUUUCUCCAUCUACGUCGGCUUAGGGCAGAAGUUAGUUGCAGUGAUAAUUCAGUUAUUCCGUUUAGUUCAAGUGAAAUUUAUGUUCCGGCUCUUACAUCACCGGCAGCGAAAACUCUGCUCUCGAGCUUUGUUUAAUUAUUACAAAAGCGUCCGGCAGACGCUUUUUAUCUUGGGCUUAAGCUCUUUACAUUAUUCACCCGCCAUCUUGCGGAAUCCAUCCUACACCCUACACGUGGUUUCUUCCCGGAGUGGAUCUCGCCUUGGCCCGCCAAAGUUGGUAGUCAAACGGGGCCGAGUGAAUUGACUGGCCUGCCUGCGUUCGUUGGGUAGAGUACCGGUCCUGCCGACACCUCCGCCCCGCUUCUGUAGUUCGGCCGUUUGAGAAGCGAGUAUUCCCGGUGGCACGACCGCCGAUUGGCGCUGAGCUCUAACGCCGCCAUAAAGAACUCCGACGAGACAGCGUUCUGGGUACAUCGCAGCUCACCGGUGUGCCCCUCGGCUGAUGAACCGCUACCGCCGAAACCGCUCAACAUAAAAUCCUGCGCAGGUAUGUGUACGAUCAUGGCCAUGCACACAACACAACACCUACACUUACACAGUCACUCACAUUUUUUAUGAAAAGAUGAACGAAUAUACAUAAUGAAUACAACAUAAAUUACCUCUCUUUACAUUCAUUUAACGCUGAGCCCUGUGGUCAAUAAGUUCGCUGGAUCAUCUUACGUUGCGUUUAUAGGCUUUCACUUUGAUCACGUUUACCUUGCACUCGUUUCUUCAGGCGUGUCCACCUCGUGACCCUAUUCAAAGUUGUUGACCAUCUAUUUGCGUAAAUCCAAUAACCGUUUGACAAACCCGUAAGAAGAGCUCUCCUGCUUCAAAUAACUAGUCGGGCAAGACAAUUAUUACAUGACCAGUGGUCUCUCGGAAUAGAGAGUGGCGCAUAAGUCACUGUGUUUGCAGCCUUUUGAGCGAGAUUCGCAGACGGUUACAGUCUUGCUGAAUAGCUGCGCGUUUACCGCUAUGGCUAUCCGGGCUCCUGCUGUCAUCUGUUAGUAUUAGACUUCAAAUCAAGAUUGUAUGGCAUAAUUUGAAUAAAGUUGAAACUUCGGAUCUACAAUUACUCUUCUUACAUUGAUCUCUUGGAGCUGUAUCGAUUAAAAUUCGCAUCCAUGCCAGGCUUAGUUUUCUAACUUAUUGCAAGUUGUUGGUUCAAAAUAUGCUGCAAGUAAAUGAUUUCUCAAAGGACCCAUUCAGGGUCAUCAAAUAUGUGAUAUCAAAUUAUGAUUCCAAUCACUGUAUGAAGAUUACGCUUUCAGAUUCACUCCCAAUGUUAACCGUCACUUAACUGAAAACUUCACAGAUCAUACAAAUUGAUUUAAGUUUGCACUAGUUUGAACCUUAUUCUCUACAAGAUUACUGGUUACAUUUGAAGAUUGGAAAAUCUACACUGAAGGCAGUUCUUAGAUAACCUUACGCAUUCUAUAAACUCAGUAUUCAAUGGAACAUACUUGAAUAAGCCAGUAUGGGUAUGAAAGUUGACUUUCAAUUAUUAUGAAUUCGCUUGUAAAUCCGAAGGCAAAUAUUUUAAGAAGUUCAAGGACAAACUUAAACAUCAUUGAACUAAAAAUAAAGAGUGGCCAAUGGCGCUUAAACCUAGGCUUUCGAGCCUGGAGACAAGGAGGAAAUUUGAUUAAUUAUUUGUUGCUAUGAUUAACAGAUCAAACAGGUCAAAAGGUUUUUGGUCAGUGUAAAAGUUUAUUUGGAUGAAAUUCAUUAUAUUUUUCGAAGUAACCUGACCAGUAUUCUGUGAGGAUUGUACCCAGGAUUACGCCAGAAUCUGGGUGGGUAAUUUGUUUUUUUCUUAAUUCUGUCGAAAAUUCUGCCAGCCAGCAAAACAAGCGUCAAAUGUAAAUCCUGUCUAGGAUUUCCUGCGUUCCUGGUUUGAAAAUAUCCUGCUCAAGAGUUCAACUGUGUUUAUUUG